AACGAACGCUGGCGGCAUGCCGAACACAUGAAAGUCGAACGAGACCUUCGGGUCUAGUGGCGCACGGGUGCGUAACGCGUGGGAACCUGCCCUUAGGGUCGGAAUAACUGCCCGAAAUGGGUGCUAAUAUCGGAUAAUGUCUUCGGACCAAAGAUUUAUCGCCUUUGGUUGGGCCCGCGUUGGAUUAGCUAGUUGGUAGGGUAAAAGCCUACCAAGGCGACGAUCCAUAGCUGGUCUGAGAGGAUGAUCAGCCACACUGGGACUGAGACACGGCCCAGACACCUGCGGGAGGCAGAAGUGAGGAAUCUUGGAACAUGGGCGAAAGCCUGAUCGAGCAAUGCCGCGUGGGUGAUGAAGGCCUUAGGGUUGUAAAGCUCUUUUACCCGGGAUGAUAAUGACAGUACCAGGAGAAUAAGCUCCGGCUAACUCCGUG
RNAcentral lists this ribosomal RNA (433 nucleotides) under uncultured bacterium. Its description in RNAcentral is "partial 16S ribosomal RNA". It matches the Rfam family "Bacterial small subunit ribosomal RNA", at positions 29 to 507 of the family's 1533-position model. The record is from RNAcentral.